GUUUCGGAACAAGAAGAAAGGAGAAAAAGAGCACGAGCGCAUCGUUAAAGCCGACUAACGUGAAAACACGUGACGAGACGAAGCAAAGAUGAAGAUGGAGAGCGUGAGGGAACUACAGAGAGGAGGAGGAGGAGGACACGGGCUGUGAGGGACGCAGUGGAGCAGCCCUCAGACCUACAUCAGCAGGAGCGAGGACGACCCCCCCAGUCUGAGGACGUUCCCACCACAUGAAUGGGGGACAGGAGGCGCAGCUUCCAGCCCAGCUGGUAGGAAAGUCCUCCUUGGGUGGACUUCUCUGUAACUAUGGACUCAUGCAUGCAGACGUUUCAGUCCACAGUGAUGUCAGUCAGUGCUUUUUAAAGAUGUGCACGUGUGCAGGAUGUGAAAUCUUCACUUUGAUUGUUAAAUGUUCACUUUGUUUGUGCUUCAAAUAAAUUCACUUCAUGGAUGAAACAGUUUGUUUUGGUUCUGUGGCCCAUGAAACCCCCCCUGAGCCCACCCUGGUGAAUCUGCUGUCAAACUUUAUCUUCAUCUAUCAAAUAUUUUACAUCAAAAUGCUCCUUCCACUCAUGUUCAUGUCCUUUUCCUGCACACUGAAGUCUGAGGCUUAAACAUGAAUCUGUCAACAGCUAUAAACACACUGGAGUCACUGCUUUUUCUUCUCAUGCACAUGAAUCAGGGUCUGUCCUUCAGCACAGAGACUUAAAUACACGAGUACAAAACAAGCAAGCGCUCCUUCAAAUCUGUGAGCGCGCGGUAACAAAAACACUUGACAUGUGAAAGAUCAUCAGUGUCUGAAUCUUCACAGAAAUGCAAAAAUAAAAACGUAGAAAAGAAAACAGCAGAUUUUUAGUGACAGAAGUGAAGAAAAUGCUGUUUUCAUUUUGCUUCCAGCAUCAGAAGAGUGUGACAUGAUGCACACAUGUAGAAACAGACACGUGUAGCUGUGCAUGGACACAUGAUUCCAUCUUUCUCAUGCAAACACCUACAGAAGCUGUAAACAGGCAGAGAAGCUUUCCUGCACAUGUUUGUGUUCUCAGCAGUGACGCUGCUCACAGCUGCUUCGUCCUCGUGGGUUUGGUGAGGCUGCAGGUCAGUAACCAUGGUUACAGGUGACGCUCUGAAACUGAUGAUCAAAGAUGUCAGGUUAUUGUUUCCAUGCAGAAUCAAGACUGAAGUCAAAUAAAUCCACUGUGUGUUUAGAUAGUGUGUCAGUGUCGUUUCCAUGGUAACAGUGACUUAUAAAAACAAAGGCGAUCCAUCAGUCCAGAUCAAUAAUGUGAGCUCAUUUAAGUGCACAUGUAUGUUUGUGUGUUCACAGCAUGAAGGCUGAUGUCCACUGAUGACUGCUGACAUCUAGUGGACAUUUGAUGACAUUACAACAACAGUUUGUGUGAAAUAAAUAAAAUGCAGAUAGAAAACAUUAAUUCACACAAGGAGAAGUCAUGUGACUGUGACGACAGAUG
Oreochromis niloticus (Nile tilapia) is the source of this 1466-nucleotide long non-coding RNA. RefSeq lists it as uncharacterized. The record is from RefSeq and is a predicted model, not a curated record. Lineage: Eukaryota; Metazoa; Chordata; Actinopteri; Cichliformes; Cichlidae. The transcript is spliced from 3 exons.